AUUACAUAUAAGAUAAGAUAAUCUAAAGGUUUGUGGUACCUUAAAUACUUUAUGGUUUGUGAUC
RNAcentral lists this transfer RNA (64 nucleotides) under Aegista aubryana. RNAcentral describes it as "tRNA-His". Lineage: Eukaryota; Metazoa; Mollusca; Gastropoda; Stylommatophora; Camaenidae. The record is from RNAcentral.